Molecule: unclassified non-coding RNA, 570 nt
Filed under: Hevea brasiliensis (rubber tree)
Lineage: Eukaryota; Viridiplantae; Streptophyta; Magnoliopsida; Malpighiales; Euphorbiaceae
Source: RNAcentral
GAGGAGUCGGAAGGUGCCAGUGAGGGAGGUGGUGCGGAUUGCGCUGGGGGCUGCUGAGGGACUUCGGUUCAUGAAUGAUCAUGGUGUCGCUUAUAGGGAUCUGAAUGUGCAGAGGAUACUGUUGGAUAGGCAGGGGAAUGCCUGUCUCGGUGACAUGGGCGCCGUUACGUCCAACAACAAUGCUGGGGAGGUGACGGAGUAUGAGACUGCCGGGUAUCGGUGGUUAGCUCCUGAGAUUAUAGCAGGGGACCCAGAGAGCGUAACAGAGACUUGGAUGAGCAAUGUAUACAGCUUUGGCAUGGUUGUCUGGGAGAUGAUAAGUGGUGAAGCAGCCUACUCUUCCUACUCUCCAGUUCAAGCUGCAGUCGGGAUUGCCGCCUGUGGGCUGAGGCCAGAGAUAGCUAAAGAUUGCCCGCAGGUUCUGAGGUCGCUAAUGCUGAGGUGCUGGAACAACUGCCCGGCCAAGCGACCUCAGUUUUCUGACAUCAUUGCGAUCUUGCAGAGAUAUGACAGCAGAUGAGGGUGAGGUCCUCCCUCACUGUAUGAGUUCGAGUUUCUCCACAAUUUUUG